AGCAUGACAUCCUGGCCAUGCAGGUCCAACUCUGUAACUAUGGAGAACUUUCUACAGUUCAAAACAACUGCCUUUAGGUGGUGGAACACAGUUCUUAAAUAUGCUGGGAACUGAAGCCUACCAAAUCCGUAAGAGCAUAAAAAUCAUUGACCUCACCUGGAACCUUGGAUCUAGUUUUACAGUUUGAAAGGCGAGCUGGUAAACGCUGGGCGAGUUGGCACAUCCAGCCAAUGGUGACGACGCCGCCUCCGCCCCUCGAAACUUUGCGAGCGAAGCGCCCGGGCUUUAAACACGUGAGUGUCUGAGUGGUGGCGGGAGAUUUCUCCUUCUGUGCCUGCUUAUCUGUACUUUCGAAGAUACUAUGCACGAUAGGGCUAAAGAACGAAGCUCAACUUAAAACAAAGAAAACGAAACUGGCGAGGUCCGCUUUCUGGUCCCGGUCGCGGUUCUUCCGGGCUCGGCGUCCCCAUCCGCCAGCGGCCGUUCCCGCCUGUUAGCGCGGCAGCCAAUCAGCUUGUCAGGCAGUGUCCCCACGCGCCGGGAGCCACCCUGAGCGUUUGCUCGACUGUCCUUUCUUUGGCUCAUCACAGCCGAAGGGGUAUCAGGUUUUCUCCUCGGGACUCUCCAGCUCUACUCGCCUCGUUCCAGCCGCACCGCUGUCCCCUGGACUUAAAGCCCAGUCGCCGCUGGGGACCGGCUAAGAGCUGUCUGUGCACCUAAACGAGGAUGGCGCGAGGAUCCGGAGGCAGAUUCGGACACAUUCCCCGAAGAGCACCUCAGGGCCAUUUGGGACGAUCGGUCCGGAGCCGGCUCCAUCUGGUUUCUCUCAAAGGGUGAAAUGUGUUCCUGAUCUUCUCCAUGAUCUUUAUGGCCAUGAUCGUCUUCCCUGAGCCAGGAAACUGAAUGCCUUUCCUGAAUCCAUGAGAAACACAGAAGUGCCAGAUCUACAGUAUAACGAAGAACUCAGGCUACAAAUGCGGGGCUUAAC
Odocoileus virginianus texanus is the source of this 988-nucleotide long non-coding RNA. RefSeq lists it as uncharacterized. The record is from RefSeq and is a predicted model, not a curated record. Lineage: Eukaryota; Metazoa; Chordata; Mammalia; Artiodactyla; Cervidae.